UACAGAGGGUGCUAGCGUUAAUCGGAUUUACUGGGCGUAAAGCGUGUGUAGGCGGUUCGUUAAGUCGGAUGUGAAAGCCCUGGGCUCAACCUAGGAAUUGCAUUCGAUACUGGCGAGCUAGAGUACGGUAGAGGGCGGCGGAAUUCCGGGUGUAGCGGUGAAAUGCGUAGAUAUCCGGAGGAACACCGAUGGCGAAGGCAACCGCCUGGGCCUGUACUGACGCUCAGGCACGAAAGCUGGGGGAGCGAACAGG
This 253-nucleotide ribosomal RNA is filed under the name uncultured bacterium. RNAcentral describes it as "partial 16S ribosomal RNA". It matches the Rfam family "Bacterial small subunit ribosomal RNA", at positions 524 to 776 of the family's 1533-position model. The record is from RNAcentral.